ACAUUAAAAAAAAUCUGGUGCUUGCAAUUAGAAUGAUACAGAGAUGAUUAGCAUGGUCUCCUCCAUAAGGAUGACACGCAAAUUUGUGAAGCAUUCCGUAUUUAA
Molecule: small nuclear RNA, 105 nt
Filed under: Macaca mulatta (Rhesus monkey)
Lineage: Eukaryota; Metazoa; Chordata; Mammalia; Primates; Cercopithecidae
Source: RNAcentral